Long non-coding RNA from Cyprinus carpio (common carp), 1299 nucleotides. The record is from Ensembl. NCBI's taxonomy places the organism in Eukaryota, Metazoa, Chordata, Actinopteri, Cypriniformes, Cyprinidae.
UGAGCGAGUAGCUGAUGAGAUGACUGAGAUGGUAUCAGUGGAGAGCCAGAGGCUGGGGGCCUGGGUUGUGCUUAAAGAGGGCACUGGAGCACAACUAUUAUGCCCUGCUACUGGAUCAGUCCUCAGUAGGGAAGACGUCAUCGGUGAGGUGGGAAAAUGGGAAUCACCCCUGCUGUCUUUCAGUUCGUACCCUCCAUCCCGCCACGCUGAAAUCCAUGCUGCUUCCAAACUACGGGGGCUUCGUUCAGUCCAAUGGUUGGUGUUCCAUCUCGUGCUUGCGGCAGCCUAUUCAGAUUGGCUCUCCCAUGCUAGACCCUCGUACAGGUGACCUGGUGCUCAUCACCAGCGUCAGUCUUGAUCCCCAUACAGGAGCUGUACUACCAGUUGGGGGGCUUCUCUUGGGUGAGUCCUUCAAUAAGCCCUUGAGCGGCCGGAUGGCACGGGUUGGUGGAUGUAGUGUGCGAGGAGGAAAGGUGGUGCCUCAUGCUGGGGGUUUCCAGGCUCUGCUGGGCGCUUGCUUGCGGGUGGCGGAGCUCUUGCAAGGAUUCAGUGAGGAGUGGAGCUCAGCAGCUGCAGAUCCACAAGGUGACCUGGACAGAGUCUCGGCAGAAACAGUGGAGCUGGAGGAGGCCUAGAAAAGCAGCCAACUCUGUUUGUUGCAGAUGCUGAGUUGCCUGGAAGCCGUACAGGAACAGGCCAGGGGUGUGGCGGAGAAUGGCGGUAGUGUGGGUGGAUAGGAGCUGUUUAUUACAAAACAUCUGUACAUUUCAAGGGGAAAUCAAGCUUCCUGGCACUGAACUAUCCUUGCCAGCUCUCCCUGGGUUGGAGUAUCCUGACCCUGGAGGCUCGGGUUUGCAUGUCCCAGUUCUGGGAGCUCAGUUGGACUGGGUGUCAGGAUACAAGGUGCCUCUGGCAGCAACCAUGGAGGAUGCAGAUAGUAAAGGGCUAGUUCCCAUACGUUUUGGAGUGCAGACGGUGGACCCAGUGACAGGGGUGCUGGCUCCGGUUGUGGGGGCCAGUCUGGAUGUUUGGAAGUGGACUGUGGUUCCUGUAACUGUGUCCCAGAUUCUGACGUUAGGAGAGAACCCUGACAGUGUCACAGUGGAAGCCCUCCAGAAGGAGAGCAAUGUACGGGGCAAUUACUGGCGUGAGCAGACACUGAAGGAAGAGGAGAUGGUGGGAGAUUUUGGCAGAGCCAUUAAACACUAUCUCUCCACGUCCGUACACAAGUCUGACUGUGAGACGAGGAGGAGUGGGAGCAGCAGUGUUACUGGCACACCAAGCUUAAGGCCGUGCUGA